This is an RNA transcript of Mangifera indica (mango), 3601 nucleotides long. It is a transcript of the gene named cleavage and polyadenylation specificity factor subunit 6-like, with no coding region annotated. The record is from RefSeq and is a predicted model, not a curated record. The transcript has 3 exons. NCBI's taxonomy places the organism in Eukaryota, Viridiplantae, Streptophyta, Magnoliopsida, Sapindales, Anacardiaceae.
UUAAUGUGGCUAUAAGUUAUUUUGAGACGAUUCAUAUGAUUUUCGCCAAGUGGGUGUUAAAAGUUUUAUGGGGUUUGAUGGAUAUUAUAAGUUGGGUAUCUAGCAUUUCCUUUGAUUCUCCCUAUAUUUUAUUGGCGGGUGUUAGAUAUAUUUUAUUGAUAUCGUUAUUGCGGUCGCAUCUGUCAAUAUUUUGAUACUUUUUUAGCUGCAUAUGUAUCGAUCUUUGUGUGUAUGUCUAAUAUAAGCUACGCUGUUGUUCUUCUAUUUUGCUUUAAUGGAUCAAAUGUCUAAAGAGCAAAUAGAUUAUGAAGAUGAGGAGUAUGGAGGGGGUCAGAAGAUGAUGUAUCAAGGAGGUGGAGCCAUACCUGCACUUGCAGAUGAAGAGCUGAUGGGAGAAGACGAUGAGUUUGAUGAGCUCUAUGAUGAUGUUAAUGUUGGAGAGGGUUUAUUGCGGUUUCAGCAGCCUGAAGUGCCACCUCCACAGAGUGAUCUGGAUCGGGGUAAUGGAGGUCUUCAAACUCAGAAAACUGAGGUUCCUGAACCUAGGCAGCAACCUGGGUCUUCACAAGGCCCAACUGUUACUGGGGCUUCCAUUGAAGUAAAAUUUUCUAAUUCUGGGACCCAUUUUCCUCCUCAAAAUGAGGGACAGCUGGCUGUUGACAGACCAGACGUGGGAUCUGUGAGUUAUGGAGAUGGGCCUUCUGUUUCACUGAAAGGGAAUGUUGUGGAGAUGAAUCAUGGCAUCACAAUCAGAAAUAAAGGGUUUCAAGGGUCUACAUCAGUGCCCCCAAAAGCUGGGGUCAAUCCCUCUAAUAUGCCUGGAAGAGUAGUAAAUGAGCUUGCACCUUUGCCAAAUCCUGACACUAGUGGCCCUCAGGAUGUUAUACAGAUUUCAGGUAAUCAGAUUGGUGAACAUGGAAAUGUUAAUCGUCAUAUGGUGAGUGAUAAUCAGAUCCAACCACCUAUAGAGAAUGGUGGGACUAUGCUGUUUGUGGGGGAAUUACACUGGUGGACCACUGAUGCAGAGCUUGAAAGUGUUUUAUCUCAGUAUGGAAGAGUCAAGGAGAUUAAGUUUUUUGAUGAGAGAGCUAGUGGAAAGUCCAAAGGUUAUUGUCAAGUUGAAUUCUAUGAUUCUGGUGCUGCAGCUGCUUGCAAAGAGGGAAUGACUGGUUAUGUUUUUAAUGGACGAGCAUGUGUUGUAGCUUUUGCUUCUCCACAAACGUUGAAGCAAAUGGGAGCUUCUUAUAUGAAUAAAAACCAGGGUCAGCUUCAGUCUCAGCCUCAGGGAAGGAGACCUGUGCAUGAUGGUGCAGGAAGAGGUGGUAAUAUGAAUUAUCAAGGUGGUGAUGGAGGUAGAAAUUAUGGAAGAGGUGGCUGGGGACGAGGUGGGCAGGGUGUACCAAACAGAGGUGGACCAAUGAGGGGAAGAGGAGGACCUAUGGGUGCAAAGAACAUGAUUGGAAGCAGUGCUGGGGCUGGAAGUGCUAGUGGUGGUGGGGCUUAUGGACAAGGGCUUGCAGGUCCUGGAUUUGGGGGGCCAGCUGGUGGUAUGAUGCAUGCUCAGAAUAUGAUGGGAGGAUUUGAUCCAACGUACAUGGGUCGAGGAGCUGGUUAUGGGGGGUUUCCAGGUCCUGGUUUUCCUAACAUGCUUCCUUCAUAUCCUGCUGUUAAUGCAAUGGGACUUCCUGGAGUGGCUCCUCAUAUCAACCCUGCCUUCUUUAGUCGGGGGAUGGCAGCUAAUGGGAUGGGAAUGAUGGGUUCUUCUGGAAUGGACAUACCUCAUCCGGGAAUGUGGACUGACUUGAAUAUGGGUGGAUGGGGAGGGGAGGAGCAUGGGCGGAGGACAAGGGAGUCAAGUUAUGGUGGAGAUGAUGGUGCUUCUGAAUAUGGGUAUGGAGAGGCAAAUCAUGAAAAGGGAGUAAGGUCAAGUGCAGUCUCUCGGGAAAAGGAACGGGUUUCUGAACGUGACUGGUCAGGGAGCUCUGAUAGGAGGCAUCAUGAGGAGAGAGAACCAGAUUGGGAUAGGUCUGAAAGGGAUCACCGGGAUCACAGGUACAGGGAAGAAAAAGAAAAUUACCGUGAUCAUCGACAAAGAGAACGUGACUCAGCAUAUGAAGAUGAUUGGGAUAGAGGACAGGCUUCUUCAAGGUCUCGAAACAAGUCUCGAGCAAUGCUAGAAGAAGAUUACCGGUCUCGAUCAAGGGAUGCAGAUUAUGGGAAGAGGAGACGACUACCGUCAGAGUAACUGAAUUGUGUUGUUCAUUCAUCUGUGGCAAAUCGUGCGUGACUUCAAAUUCUAUAAGUCAAUCUUAGUGUUUUACUCUGGGGUUGUUACAGUGCAUCAACAAUUGCUCUGCCUGCAUUUCAUUGGCCCAAACACAGAGUGUGACUUCUUGAAGGAAAAGGAGUGGAACGGGCAACUCUCUGUUUUCAUGAGUGGAUGUGCCUGGAGGAAGAUGUGUUUGAUGGUCUGCAUUCAUUGCUUCCUGAAAUAAUGGCUUUGGUCUGUCAAGUUUGCAAAAGAAGCCUUGACAAUUUUGCUUUGACCUUUCUUUCCUCAAUCGCCUUUAAGAUCUGUAAUUUGCUCUCUGGGAAGAAAAUGCCUAGAAAUAGUUGGGAGUCCUGAACUUGUCAAAUAUGGAAUGGAUGUUGAUUAUAUGUUUUUGAUACUUCUAAAGCACCAUUUCAUCUGUAAAGUCAAGUACAUGCAUUAGUUACCAGCAUGUAAUGGCCUUAGUCAUUGUUUAUUCGGCCAUUUGUGGCUCAUUGUGAGCUUGUAAAAGAGUUGUACUGACUUUGAGGCAUAUACUUGGUCAUAUUUGAUUUGGUGUGACCAAGGAUUUUAAUUGUGAUUAGAUACUAAGUAAUGGGCUAUUAAUACAUUGUAGCCUGUGUUGCUGUCUUACCUGUAAUUAGAUGUUGUAAUAUAUAUUAAUUUCUAUUUCCAUUAGAUUAUAAAGGAUUUUCAGAAUUUUGUAUUACAAAUUCUGUUUGUGUAAAUUUUGAGGUUUACCGGCGCAUAGGAGCCAUACAUUGGGGACUUCACUGCAUUGUAAAUGGGCUGGACCAAGAGUUUUGGUUGUUUUGGGUAUGUUUCGACAUUGAAGGCAUGAUGUUGUGCACCUUGUGCAUUUCUUUUUUCCUGUAGUAAACUUUUUAGAAGAUUGUAAAGCAUUUCACUUGUACUACUUUUAUUGUGGUUUUUUUUUUUUUUUUUUGUAUAUAUCAAGUUUCCUGGAUUGUAUGCCAGAAAAUUUUAAAAUAGGUUGGACAAUUUUCUGGUUAGUUACAAUAGGAUGUUAUAUCGUUUAUUCAAUAUGUAUUAGAUUUUUCCUGUCCUUCAAUCUCCUUGUAUCCGUGUAUGAGGAAAGACAACAUCAGUGUUCAAGAUGGCAUAUACUAAGUUACCUGCCUUCCUCUGUGUUGUUCUGAUGUUCUACUUGCUUGAUAAGGAAACUGCAAGGGUUGGGUUCACAAUAUUUCUGCCGGCUGCAUCAAUAUGUACUUAAAUGUCUUCUCUUACUUUUGGAUGGCUUCUGUAGUCUUAAACAGGUCACUUUGCAGAUAUUUUUCAAGUCUAUAUGGUUUUGAGUUUCUGUAA